Dipodomys ordii (Ord's kangaroo rat) is the source of this 74-nucleotide non-coding RNA. The record is from Rfam. Lineage: Eukaryota; Metazoa; Chordata; Mammalia; Rodentia; Heteromyidae.
GGGAAUGUGGCUCAGUGGUAGAGUGUUUGCCUAGCAUGCGUGAAGCCCUGGGUUCGAUUCCUCAGACAUAACCA